RNAcentral lists this ribosomal RNA (424 nucleotides) under Kolla sp. n. DMT-2019. RNAcentral describes it as "partial large subunit ribosomal RNA". Lineage: Eukaryota; Metazoa; Arthropoda; Insecta; Hemiptera; Cicadellidae. The record is from RNAcentral.
AUAUUCUGCCCUAUGAAUAAUUUAAAUGGCUGCAGUAUUUUGACUGUGCAAAGGUAGCAUAAUAAUUAGUCAUUUAAUUGUUGACUUGUAUGAAUGAAUGAAUGAGGUAUAAUUUUUAUUAGUUUAAUUAUUAGAAUUUUAUUUUUAGGUAAAAAAGCUUAAUUAAUUUUUAGGGACGAAAAGACCCUAUAGAACUUUAUUAAUUUUUAAUUUAUUUUAUUUGGUUUUUAUUUUUUUUAAAUUUUAUCAAUUUUUUUGGUUGGGGUGACAGUUAAAUUUAACUUUAAUUAGUUUUUUCAUUUUUUUUAUGUUUUUAUUGAUCCUAAUAUUUAGAUUAUAAGUUUAAGUUACCUUAGGGAUAACAGCGUAAUUAUAGUGGAAAGUUCAUAUUUAUACUAUAGUUUGCGACCUCGAUGUUGAAUUA